RNAcentral lists this ribosomal RNA (455 nucleotides) under uncultured Pseudomonas sp. RNAcentral's name for it is "bacterial SSU rRNA". It matches the Rfam family "Bacterial small subunit ribosomal RNA", at positions 925 to 1382 of the family's 1533-position model. Lineage: Bacteria; Pseudomonadati; Pseudomonadota; Gammaproteobacteria; Pseudomonadales; Pseudomonadaceae. The record is from RNAcentral.
ACAAGCGGUGGAGCAUGUGGUUAAUUCGAAGCAACGCGAAGAACUUACCAGGCCUUGACAUGCAGAGAACUUUCCAGAGAUGGAUUGGUGCCUUCGGGAACUCUGACACAGGUGCUGCAUGGCUGUCAUCAGCUCGUGUCGUGAGAUGUUGGGUUAAGUCCGUAACGAGCGCAACCCUUGUCCUUAGUUACCAGCACGUUAUGGUGGGCACUCUAAGGAGACUGCCGGUGACAAACCGGAGGAAGGUGGGGAUGACGUCAAGUCAUCAUGGCCCUUACGGCCUGGGCUACACACGUGCUACAAUGGUCGGUACAAAGGGUUGCCAAGCCGCGAGGUGGAGCUAAUCCCAUAAAACCGAUCGUAGUCCGGAUCGCAGUCUGCAACUCGACUGCGUGAAGUCGGAAUCGCUAGUAAUCGUGAAUCAGAAUGUCACGGUGAAUACGUUCCCGGGCCUU